UGAGGAAUAUUGGUCAAUGGACGGGAGUCUGAACCAGCCAAGUAGCGUGCAGGAUGACGGCCCUAUGGGUUGUAAACUGCUUUUGUGCGGGGAUAAAGUGUGGGACGUGUCCCAUAUUGCAGGUACCGCAUGAAUAAGGACCGGCUAAUUCCGUGCCAGCAGCCGCGGUAAUACGGAAGGUCCGGGCGUUAUCCGGAUUUAUUGGGUUUAAAGGGAGCGUAGGCCGGAGAUUAAGCGUGUUGUGAAAUGCCGCGGCUCAACCGUGGCACUGCAGCGCGAACUGGUUUUCUUGAGUGCGCGCGACGCAGGCGGAAUUCGUGGUGUAGCGGUGAAAUGCUUAGAUAUCACGAGGAACCCCGAUUGCGAAGGCAGCUUGCGGGAGCGCAACUGACGCUGAAGCUCGAAGGUGCGGGUAUCGAACAGG
Molecule: ribosomal RNA, 424 nt
Filed under: uncultured bacterium
Lineage: Bacteria
Description: bacterial SSU rRNA
Rfam family: Bacterial small subunit ribosomal RNA
Source: RNAcentral